GAUGAACGCUGGCGGCGUGCCUAAUACAUGCAAGUCGAGCGAACGGACGAGAAGCUUGCUUCUCUGAUGUUAGCGGCGGACGGGUGAGUAACACGUGGAUAACCUACCUAUAAGACUGGGAUAACUUCGGGAAACCGGAGCUAAUACCGGAUAAUAUUUUGAACCGCAUGGUUCAAAAGUGAAAGACGGUCUUGCUGUCACUUAUAGAUGGAUCCGCGCUGCAUUAGCUAGUUGGUAAGGUAACGGCUUACCAAGGCAACGAUGCAUAGCCGACCUGAGAGGGUGAUCGGCCACACUGGAACUGAGACACGGUCCAGACUCCUACGGGAGGCAGCAGUAGGGAAUCUUCCGCAAUGGGCGAAAGCCUGACGGAGCAACGCCGCGUGAGUGAUGAAGGUCUUCGGAUCGUAAAACUUUGUUAUUAGGGAAGAACAUAUGUGUAAGUAACUGUGCACAUCUUGACGGUACCUAAUCAGAAAGCCACGGCUAACUACGUGCCAGCAGCCGCGGUAAUACGUAGGUGGCAAGCGUUAUCCGGAAUUAUUGGGCGUAAAGCGCGCGUAGGCGGUUUUUUAAGUCUGAUGUGAAAGCCCACGGCUCAACCGUGGAGGGUCAUUGGAAACUGGAAAACUUGAGUGCAGAAGAGGAAAGUGGAAUUCCAUGUGUAGCGGUGAGAUGCGCAGAGAUAUGGAGGAACACCAGUGGCGAAGGCGACUUUCUGGUCUGUAACUGACGCUGAUGUGCGAAAGCGUGGGGAUCAAACAGGAUUAGAUACCCUGGUAGUCCACGCCGUAAACGAUGAGUGCUAAGUGUUAGGGGGUUUCCGCCCCUUAGUGCUGCAGCUAACGCAUUAAGCACUCCGCCUGGGGAGUACGACCGCAAGGUUGAAACUCAAAGGAAUCGACGGGGACCCGCACAAGCGGUGGAGCAUGUGGUUUAAUUCGAAGCAACGCGAAGAACCUUACCAAAUCUUGACAUCCUUUGACAACUCUAGAGAUAGAGCCUUCCCCUUCGGGGGACAAAGUGACAGGUGGUGCAUGGUUGUCGUCAGCUCGUGUCGUGAGAUGUUGGGUUAAGUCCCGCAACGAGCGCAACCCUUAAGCUUAGUUGCCAUCAUUAAGUUGGGCACUCUAAGUUGACUGCCGGUGACAAACCGGAGGAAGGUGGGGAUGACGUCAAAUCAUCAUGCCCCUUAUGAUUUGGGCUACACACGUGCUACAAUGGACAAUACAAAGGGCAGCGAAACCGCGAGGUCAAGCAAAUCCCAUAAAGUUGUUCUCAGUUCGGAUUGUAGUCUGCAACUCGACUACAUGAAGCUGGAAUCGCUAGUAAUCGUAGAUCAGCAUGCUACGGUGAAUACGUUCCCGGGUCU
Molecule: ribosomal RNA, 1372 nt
Filed under: uncultured bacterium
Lineage: Bacteria
Description: bacterial SSU rRNA
Rfam family: Bacterial small subunit ribosomal RNA
Source: RNAcentral